CUGUUUUGAAUUAUAAAUUUACAUCAAAGUAUACUACUAUUUGUGUAAUGUUAUUACUGAAAAUGAACUUAUGGAAGUAUCCAUUUAUUUCCCGAAAAUCGAAGGGAAAUUAAGGAAUUAGCGGAAAGCGGAAUUAAUCGCUAUUACUUCUAAAAGAGGUAUAAAGGGAAGCGUAUAAAAGGGAGAAUAUUUUUCAUUUAAUUUAGGCUGACAUUGAUCCAUCUUUAUCGCUGGUUACCCUCGGUUUGCUGUCUUUUGGACACGCCUUCCUGACGCUUGGCUUGCCAGAAACGUUGAACCAGGAAUUACCAGAAACCCUACAGGAGGGUAACGACUUCGGCAAGGAACAAAGUUUCUGGUGGGUUCCGUGUAUAUCCUCGAGCAAAAUGCUGAAAAAAUCUUAUAGAAAGAAGAAAGGCCUUUCAAAUCCAGCGUUUACUGGCAGUGUUCAAAAAAUGGAUUGUACUAGGUUAUAGUGGUUAGAUUUGGCGACGGCGCGAAACUUGCCAGUAGGGUAAAACUUACCAGUGGCAUGAAACUUGUCAAUGGCAUGAAACUUGUCAAUGACAUGAAACUUGUCAGUGACAUGAAAUUGCCAGUGGCGUGAAACUUGCCAAAUUUGUUGUAAAUAUAGUUAUUAAACGUGUGCGUGUGAUGUUAGAUGUUAAGAUAUUACGAACGUAUUGAGAUUGGAGAGCUAUUGAGAGAAACUAGGAGGAAGUAUCGAUUAUUGCAGUGAAAGAGACAAGAAUCGUCAAAUUACACAAAGAGUGAUAGUGUUGAUGUCCAUUGAAGUGUGUCUUAUGGUAGCAAGGCAACGACCAGAAAUGUUGGUCCCUUCCGAAUUCUUCGCCUUGCUUGAUAGUCUGAGGAAGAUUCUGGCCGACAGUUUCCGGCAGGAACAAAACCAGUGCAGCGCCAAAAAAGGACACCGUGCUGAUAAUGAGCAUUGGAAAUCCCUCCCAAAUUGCAGCCUAAUGAACAAAUAUUAAUUUAUAUGAGCAAAGGUUAAAUACCAUGAAAAUCUGGUCAAAGUAUUUCUCAUUUAAAAAGUUUCAUUAGAAAGUUUCAACCAAUAUAGUUUCAUAUCUUAAGUUAUUCCAUCAUUUUUUAUUUUAAAUUUCAAUUUUUUGAUUAAAGAUCAGUUAAAGAAAAGAGUUGGUUGCAACUUCCAAAACGGGCUUUCUAGAAAGUGAGAAAUAUUUUGAUCAGAUUUUUAUAAUAUUUAACUUCUUCAGGAAACAACUUGUUUUAAGGUAAGAAAAAAACUAUUUUACAUUUUCAUGAGAAAAUUUACAUGAGAACUUUUUCAUAAUUUCUAAUAGCGCUUAUUGUAUCUUUUGGAAUAAAUUAAAGAGAAGUUGAACGUGGAUGUACUUAGCGGUGUUUCAAAAAUGUUGUAACAACAAUAGUAGUAUAAAUAUUUAUUUACCGAGUCAGUGAUAUAUGGCGCCAAAGAGUGUGCAACUAUUCCGAAAAUAUGAAUGAAAGAUACGCCCUGCGAUCUGACUGGCGUGGGCAGAAGUUCUGCUGCAUACUGAAGACCAACAUUGGCUGCCAUGUUCAGACAGAAUCGCGACAAUAUUGACAUUACUAAUUUCGCGAGCACUGGGGAAUAAAUUAAAAAAUACAAAAUUAAUCCUGGGUACACAAUACUUGAUUAUCGAUAUAUUUACUGGAAUGCAGCAUAAGUUCAGCGAUACUGAGCACACAGGUCAUUGCCAUCGUGAGAAAUCCGCAGAGUCUACGACCCCAUCGGUCGAGCAACAGGGCGAGUAAUAACCCAGCUGGAAGUUCUGUGGCACAGGCGAUCAAGAACGACACGAACACCGAGCUCUGGAUAAGUUUUAAUGAAUACACGUGACCGUCGAACGAGAUCAGGGUGAAACACCUACAAGAUUGUAUCGGUUAUUUAUGAAGGUUUUCUCGCAACAUGAACUCGUAUCUUAUACUUGUCAGAAUGCAACUAGAAGAAUAGUGUUUCUCGCCAACCGUGGCGUUUUGAACAGAUCGAGCAGCGUCGCUGAUUCUUGAAUUUUGUCCGGUGCCUCCAUGUUACUCUGCAAGAAUUUAUUUCGAGAAUAAUUAACGAAAGAUAUAAUACGAGUCGUGCCUUUAGCCCUUACACAGUUCAAAAUUCAUAACACACUGAAAAGAAAUUUUAUUUUCAUUUUAUUCGUCAUUAAUAGAUAGCACGAACAGUGGCACUUUGCAUUCUGUUUUAUGGAAUUAGUCGGCAUGGCUUUUGAUAUCGAGAUUUAUUAAUAUAAUGGGUGGUUGGUUGAUUAAAUACUUUUCUGAUCCGAAAUACAGUCGGGAACAAAACUAAGUGGAUUAGUGGAGAAAAUGUGAAAAUUCAUUUCAAUCAUUUGCUGAACUAUCUGCAUAUUAUUAGAAGGAAAUAUAAUAAAUAAAACUCAAGUAUAUGAGGCUGAUACUAAUUUGAUUAUACUUUCUUCACAUCUAUUUCCAUUAACUAUAGCAGCUUAUUUUUAUCCCCGAUUGUACUUGUAAAUUGUAAAUAUUUUAUAAUUUCUAUAUAAAUUCCCAGAUUUACUUCAAAUUUUGUACGAGAUCGAUAUAAUACCACAAUGGAAUCGCGACAGUCAAGUUUCAUUUCAUAUUUCAUUUUUCAUCGCGUUUCAUUUUUAAAACCUGUCUAUGCAUGUUAAAAUACAUUCGCGAGUCUGUGUGUUUUCGACGUGAAUCAAAUAUAUCUGUCAGCACAGAUUCAAGUACUGUACCGUAUGAUUUCGCUUUCUCAACAACCUUGUCCAUCAUCCCGUUGGAAACGUACCAGCUUGAACAGAGCAAAUACGAGUGAUAUGGAUCGAUAAGUAAAUUUGCAUAAAUCUCAAAGCGCAAGUUGAGAAUUCGAAUAAUCGAACGAUUAGGAGUUUACUUACCGGGCGCUCUCGGGAAGAAUCCACGGUGUGAUAGCGACAGAUAACAGCGGUAUGGCAGUAACUAAUAGAACAUGGAAGAUUUAUCGAGUGAAACCGGUUAUUAUUAAUAUGGAGCAAUUGAUGACGAGCCGAAUGAACGAUACCAUCAACAUAAUUGUAGGAUAAUUUUAUCGAACGCCAGUCCAGUGAGAAACCUACAGACGGCGAAUGACCAAAAACUAUUUGCGCUGGCAGUGAAAAUGGAGGCAAAAAGGGCGAUACCAUUGCAGAACAUUAAAGCUGGGAUACGACCCUUCUGAUCGGCGAUCCAACCGACUAGGAAACCACCGAUGAUGGAUCUGCAGAAGAAGAUGGCCUGCGCCGUUGAUACGAGGUAUUCUCGGUCGCAUACCCAAUCUAGCUAAUCACCAAGGUUAAGAGUUAGUCAGCGAAAAACCAGAUUCAUAUUUUUCAGAAUAUAAUUUUAAUCCUGCUGCGGUCUUCGAAUUUUUAUAUCUCGAUUCUGCUCGCAGUUCGAUGAAUGAAAGAGUUCUUUAUGCUCUGAAAAAAACGUUCGCGUAAAAUCGGAACGAGGAAUUAUCCGUACUAACAAUUAUCGUCUUAUACUUUCUUUAAACUUAAGAAAUUUACUAUAACAAGGUUAGAGUAGAUCGGAAAUGACCCAAAGAACGCAGCAGAAGUGUAAGAAUUUCGAAGCAUGCGAUUCAGACAACGAUGUGAAUACUUCACCUCAGUUCCUAUACUAGGAUAUGGAAUCUGCGUAAAAUUAUACUCUCAUUGAGUACAUUUUAUCGUUUUGUUUGGUUGGAAGCCCGAUGAGCUCAGGCUCUUAUCGCUCUUCAACAGCUCUGUGAAGUUUACGUCCUUCCGUUGACAUUGUUCGUAAUAAGGAUAAACGUUCGUCACUGGAAUCGCUAUCUUAAUCCUAAACACCCCAUACGAUAGAUGAUUGAUCAUUUUAAUUAUUAAAAUAAGAACCAAAGUCCAGACAGAGUAAUCCAAAAAUAUCUUGUAUCUUAUCGUGAAAUUUUUCUACAAUAUUUUCUAAUAAUUUUCGAAAUGUUCGAAAAUUCGAGAAAUUCCAGAAAUCGCGAUAUCUCGCAUAUUUUUCACAAUAUUUUAAAGUCACUUUCUACGAACAAUCAAAAAUAUCGUUCAAAGUUUAAAGGAGCUUUCGUUGCUACGUAUAUCUCCUUUUCUUUCUUUCCUUCAUUAUACAUACUUACCUCUCUUCUUCAGUGAAAUUCGAGUUUACUAAUUCGUCUAUCCUGCACCAGUGUUCCGUGGGAAUAAUCGUAAUGAAAAAUUGCGAGAAAUACAGAAACGCGUACGUCGCGCCAUAAGGUAGUAACGACAAUAACAACAGCCAUUGAUAUCUCCCGUAGUCACCGACAUACGGCAGAACAUCAUCGAAAGUUUCCAAUCUUGGUCUCAAUCGAGUCGCUUCAGUGGGCAAUAUAGUGUUACUCUUCUCGUCCUUCAUUUCGCUGAAACAGAAUCCAUCCUUGAUUUCCAGGCGUAGCAGUAUAAAAGUCGUAUAACAAAGUUUUCAGUCUUCUAGUCUUUGAAAUAAAUGUCAUUCGGCAGUUCCUUUGAUGUUUCACAUUCUGUGAUUCCAAUUACAAUGCUCCUUUCCUCUCCCACAAACAGGAAAUUAUUUUCUGACAGAACGCAGGAACAAUCUUACCCGUCAUUCACGUUUUCCCCUUCCAUAGUUCGAGCAGCAAAGUCUCAAUUAUGAUUUUAGAUUUUGAAAGGCAACGGAGAUGAAAGAGGAGACCCGAUAUGCUGAUCGAAAGACGUUCGGAAAUGAACUGAAAGAACGAGCGAAGUCCGGCAACUGUUCGCUUUGUUUUCGAUUCGGUUAAACGUUAAAUUAAGUGUAAGUGUUUGCUCGAGUGCCGGCCAAUUACUGUGCCGGGAGUCAAGUGAAUCGUGACACGCGACUCGUUCAAAUUGAAUUGCAUACGAACCACGCUCGCGAGAUCAUCUUUAAAAAGGGCUGAUUCGGUAUACGCGGCGAUAUCAACGUGAUAUCUACAUGUCUGAGGAAAGUUUCGACGAAAGAAAUAGCCUCGAGUGCUGGUUAAUGGUGUUCGAGUUAUCGUUUGGAUAUCGAUAUUAUAGAUUUGCAAAUGAGAUAGAAGAACCGAAGGAAAGUUUGUUGACUCUGUCAUAUUUAAUUAAAUGCAGGAGAAAAAUUGAAUGGAAUAAUUUUCUGAUUAAUAUUGUUUGUUUAUUACUCGUAAUCCUCUUACCCGGCGACUUAAGGGUGACUUCCGGUUACAGUGCUUAACUAAACUAAGUUUUCGAUCAAUAUAUUGAACUCUAUUGGAAAAUAACCGAGAAAAUUUUAAGCCAUCGAAGGCCAAGAAUAAAUGAAAUAAUUGAAGGUUUUUCAAACCUGUUUUAACACUAAUAUCAGGGAUAUAAGAAGAUGGUACUUCUGAUGUAUCAACGCAAUUAUUUGAUUAUUUACCAUUCGUUAAAACAGACGGUCUUAGGGACUGAGGUGGUUAAUUAGAUAUUGAAAAAUUAAAAGAACGAUUUCCAAGUUAAAAGUAAAAUAAUAUAUCGAUCUUUCGCAAAAUUUUUAUAUCAAAUUGUUCAUUUUCGUAUCAGAUAGAGCAAAAGGUUAAACUGAUAUGUUUACUUGAAAAUGGAUUCAGGGAAAUUAAUCAUUUGCCAAUUAAAUUUAAGCGAAUACGUGAAACAAUAUUAUCAUAUAGAAUAAACACGGAAACGAAACAGCUGACAGAAAAACCAUCGAUUUCGAGACAUCGAUUAGAAUGACUAAUGUCAUUGUCAGGAGCGAGAAAGUGGUCGAGUGCUCGAAAUAACUGACCUGUUUGGAAAAUACGACAACGAGAAACGUUCGUGUCUACGAGCCAUCGUGUCUACAUAAUAAAUACUUGCGUGUGUACGUCUACACAAAUGGCGACAUUUUUAAAAUCAAAAAUAGAGUAUAUUACCCUUGAUCGUCCAAACGAAACAAUUGCUUAUAAUUACAAGACAUUUGAUAUAGGACUUUGAGAAAUCAAUAUGCUACAAUUUGUUGGAAACAUUUAGCUUGCACAUAAAUCACAUAUGAGCCAAACUCACGCGACUGAUAACGUUACAUUGCACUGAAACUGAGGACUCGAUCGAUUCUCAAAAUUCCAAAUACAAUCUUUUAAAUUAAUUUUCACUCAUUAUCAAGAAUCCAAUCAAAAUUUCUUUUUCCUAAUUUAUUAGUAACAUUCUUAGGUAGAACUAAUAAUUAUCGCUUCUCUUUUAUAAACGAUUAUCAAAGCGAAAAAUUAAAUUCAGUCUAUAGAAGAAAAUGAAUACAGAAAUUGAAACCCUUAUCUGUCACCAAACGAUUCUUCUAUGUCUAAUUAACGAUAGUCUCACGACGUCAAAGUGAAACUCCAAACUGAUCGUUUCUCGUUGCUCUUUGUUCAAAAUAUCGAUCACGAUUAAUCAGGCACUACCAACCACAUCCACUAAUAUCACUGUCAGAUCGAUUAACAGCAAGUUAUGAAAUUAGUAAUUAAGGGCACCCUCGAUCAAACCAUUUUUCUCUCUCAACGUCACACUAAAUCAUGUCAAAUGUAUCUUUCCGUUCCAAAUGUCGUCGACUAACUUCCAACGAACAAAAUGUCUCAAUACACUAAGUUCGAUACCUUCGUGUUCCUUGUGGAGAUAACCGAAGAAUUUUUCCGUUAUUGUAGCAUUUUCGUUGCUGCUUCUUAAUUUAAAAGUAAAGAAAUAAAAUUAGUUUGAAAAAGCAAUUAAAGUAAUUCACGUGGGUUUCUUUGAAGACGGCGGAAAAUCGAUGAUAAAACGAAAUAGAAAUAGAAAUAAAAUAAAAUAAAAU
Bombus huntii is the source of this 6765-nucleotide long non-coding RNA. RefSeq lists it as uncharacterized. The transcript has 7 exons. NCBI's taxonomy places the organism in Eukaryota, Metazoa, Arthropoda, Insecta, Hymenoptera, Apidae. The record is from RefSeq and is a predicted model, not a curated record.